Molecule: transfer RNA, 85 nt
Filed under: Streptomyces phage Annadreamy
Lineage: Duplodnaviria; Heunggongvirae; Uroviricota; Caudoviricetes; Stanwilliamsviridae
Also listed under: 3 other names
Description: tRNA-Leu
Rfam family: tRNA
About the family: Transfer RNA (tRNA) molecules are approximately 80 nucleotides in length. Their secondary structure includes four short double-helical elements and three loops (D, anti-codon, and T loops). Further hydrogen bonds mediate the characteristic L-shaped molecular structure. tRNAs have two regions of fundamental functional importance: the anti-codon, which is responsible for specific mRNA codon recognition, and the 3' end, to which the tRNAs corresponding amino acid is attached (by aminoacyl-tRNA synthetases). tRNAs cope with the degeneracy of the genetic code in two manners: having more than one tRNA (with a specific anti-codon) for a particular amino acid; and 'wobble' base-pairing, i.e. permitting non-standard base-pairing at the 3rd anti-codon position.
Source: RNAcentral
GCGGGUGUGGCGGAACUAGGCAGACGCGAUAGGUUUAGGUCCUAUUGUCCUUGUGGCGUGCAGGUUCGAUUCCUGUCACCCGUAC